RNAcentral lists this ribosomal RNA (244 nucleotides) under uncultured bacterium. Its description in RNAcentral is "partial 16S ribosomal RNA". It matches the Rfam family "Bacterial small subunit ribosomal RNA", at positions 15 to 253 of the family's 1533-position model. The record is from RNAcentral.
GAUCAUGGCUCAGAUUGAACGCUGGCGGCAGGCCUAACACAUGCAAGUCGAACGGUAACAGGAAACAGCUUGCUGUUUCGCUGAAGAGUGGCGGACGGGUGAGUAAUGUCUGGGAAACUGCCUGAUGGAGGGGGAUAACUACUGGAAACGGUAGCUAAUACCGCAUAAUGUCGCAAGACCAAAGAGGGGGACCUUCGGGCCGUCUUGCCAUCGGAUGUGCCCACGAUGGGAUUAGCUAGUAGGG